UUAACUGGAGGGAGGUGGGGAUGACGUCAAAUCAUCAUGCCCCUUAUGACCUGGGCUACACACGUGCUACAAUGGAUGGUACAACGAGUUGCGAGACCGCGAGGUCAAGCUAAUCUCUUAAAGCCAUUCUCAGUUCGGACUGUAGGCUGCAACUCGCCUACACGAAGUCGGAAUCGCUAGUAAUCGCGGAUCAGCACGCCGCGGUGAAUACGUUCCCGGGCCUUGUACACACCGCCCGUCACACCAUGAGAGUUUGUAACACCCGAAGCCGGUGGCGUAACCCUUUUAGGGAGCGAGCCGUCUAAGGUGGGACAAAUGAUUAGGGUGAAGUACGUAAGCAAGAGCUUACCCUC
RNAcentral lists this ribosomal RNA (353 nucleotides) under Lactiplantibacillus plantarum. RNAcentral describes it as "bacterial SSU rRNA". It matches the Rfam family "Bacterial small subunit ribosomal RNA", at positions 1159 to 1533 of the family's 1533-position model. The record is from RNAcentral. Lineage: Bacteria; Bacillati; Bacillota; Bacilli; Lactobacillales; Lactobacillaceae.